RNAcentral lists this ribosomal RNA (253 nucleotides) under uncultured bacterium. Its description in RNAcentral is "partial 16S ribosomal RNA". It matches the Rfam family "Bacterial small subunit ribosomal RNA", at positions 524 to 776 of the family's 1533-position model. The record is from RNAcentral.
UACGAAGGUCCCAAGCGUUAUCCGGAUUUAUUGGGUUUAAAGGGUGCGUAGGCGGGCUAUUAAGUCAGUGGUGAAAGCCCCAAGCUUAACUUGGGAACUGCCAUUGAUACUGAUGGUCUUGAGUACAUUUGAGGUGGGCGGAAUGUGUCAUGUAGCGGUGAAAUGCUUAGAUAUGACACAGAACACCGAUUGCGAAGGCAGCUCACUAAACUGUAACUGACGCUGAGGCACGAAAGCGUGGGGAGCAAACAGG